This 194-nucleotide ribosomal RNA is filed under the name Natronococcus sp. RNAcentral describes it as "partial 16S ribosomal RNA". It matches the Rfam family "Archaeal small subunit ribosomal RNA", at positions 50 to 243 of the family's 1478-position model. Lineage: Archaea; Methanobacteriati; Methanobacteriota; Halobacteria; Halobacteriales; Natrialbaceae. The record is from RNAcentral.
CAUGCUAGUUGUACGAGUUCAGACUCGUAGCAGAUAGCUCAGUAACACGUGGAAAACUACAGCGUAUGGAGCGGGACAACCUCGGGAAACUGAGGCUAAUCCGGCAUACCGCUCUCAGGCUGGAACUGCCGAGAGCUCGAAACGCCCCGGCGCCAUAGGAUGUGGCUGCGGCCGAUUAGGUAGACGGUGGGGUA